RNAcentral lists this ribosomal RNA (819 nucleotides) under uncultured bacterium. RNAcentral describes it as "bacterial SSU rRNA". It matches the Rfam family "Bacterial small subunit ribosomal RNA", at positions 8 to 808 of the family's 1533-position model. The record is from RNAcentral.
AGAGUUUGAUCCUGGCUCAGGAUGAACGCUGGCGGCGUGCCUAAUACAUGCAAGUCGAGCGAACAGACGAGGAGCUUGCUCCUCUGACGUUAGCGGCGGACGGGUGAGUAACACGUGGAUAACCUACCUAUAAGACUGGGAUAACUUCGGGAAACCGGAGCUAAUACCGGAUAAUAUAUUGAACCGCAUGGUUCAAUAGUGAAAGACGGUUUUGCUGUCACUUAUAGAUGGAUCCGCGCCGCAUUAGCUAGUUGGUAAGGUAACGGCUUACCAAGGCAACGAUGCGUAGCCGACCUGAGAGGGUGAUCGGCCACACUGGAACUGAGACACGGUCCAGACUCCUACGGGAGGCAGCAGUAGGGAAUCUUCCGCAAUGGGCGAAAGCCUGACGGAGCAACGCCGCGUGAGUGAUGAAGGUCUUCGGAUCGUAAAACUCUGUUAUUAGGGAAGAACAAAUGUGUAAGUAACUAUGCACGUCUUGACGGUACCUAAUCAGAAAGCCACGGCUAACUACGUGCCAGCAGCCGCGGUAAUACGUAGGUGGCAAGCGUUAUCCGGAAUUAUUGGGCGUAAAGCGCGCGUAGGCGGUUUUUUAAGUCCGAUGUGAAAGCCCCCGGCUCAACCGGGGAGGGUCAUUGGAAACUGGGGAACUUGAGUGCAGAAGAGGAGAGUGGAAUUCCAUGUGUAGCGGUGAAAUGCGUAGAUAUAUGGAGGAACACCAGUGGCGAAGGCGACUCUCUGGUCUGUAACUGACGCUGAGGCUCGAAAGCGUGGGUAGCAAACCAGGAUUAGAUACCCUGGUAGUCCACGCCGUAAACG